Molecule: ribosomal RNA, 395 nt
Filed under: Bryozoa sp.
Lineage: Eukaryota; Metazoa; Bryozoa
Description: partial small subunit ribosomal RNA
Rfam family: Eukaryotic small subunit ribosomal RNA
Source: RNAcentral
AUUCCAGCUCCAGCAGCGUAUAUUUAUAUUGCUGCGUUUAAAAAGCUCGUAGUUGAAGCGUCAGACGCGGGAGGGCGGACGGCCGCACUGGUCGCUCUCGCCCGACCGAGCCAGGCGCAGAGGGCGCGCGUCGCUUGCACUUUACCGUGUGAGCGCGCCGCCGCUGCACGUUCACCUUGAAGAAAUUGAACCGCUUAGAGGGGGCGAGCAGCUUGCACAGCUCAGCAUGGUAUGAUGGAACAUGGGCUCGUGCUCAUUUUGUUGGUUAGAGAGUCGGCGAGCCAAUGAUUAACAGGGACUGCCGGGGGCAUUCGUACUCGGACGGGAGAGGUGAAAUUCAAGGAUCGUCCGAAGACGCCCUACUGCGAAAGCAUUUGCCAAGAAUGUUUUCAUCA